Non-coding RNA from Schistosoma margrebowiei, 45 nucleotides. Lineage: Eukaryota; Metazoa; Platyhelminthes; Trematoda; Strigeidida; Schistosomatidae. The record is from Rfam.
AUCCAGCUGACGAGUCGCAAAUAGGAUGAGACGCGCGUCUUAAAU